This 275-nucleotide ribosomal RNA is filed under the name uncultured bacterium. Its description in RNAcentral is "partial 16S ribosomal RNA". It matches the Rfam family "Bacterial small subunit ribosomal RNA", at positions 338 to 608 of the family's 1533-position model. The record is from RNAcentral.
CCUACGGGUGGCUGCAGUCGAGAAUCUUCGGCAAUGGGCGAAAGCCUGACCGAGCGACGCCGCGUGCGGGAUGAAGGUCUUCGGAUUGUAAACCGCUGUCGGGAGGGAUGAAGUGCACGGGGGCAAUCCCCUGUGUUUGACAGAGCUCCGGAGGAAGCACGGGCUAAGUUCGUGCCAGCAGCCGCGGUAAUACGAACUGUGCGAACGUUAUUCGGAAUCACUGGGCUUAAAGGGUGCGUAGGCGGCGCUGUAAGUCAGGUGUGAAAUCCCCCGGC